AUACGGAAGGUCCGGGCGUUAUCCGGAUUUAUUGGGUUUAAAGGGAGCGCAGGCGGAGAUGCAAGCGUGACGUCAAAUUUCGGGGCUCAACCCCGUCUCGCGUCGCGAACUGCGUCCCUUGGUUGCGGGAAGGGGAGGCGGAACUCGUGGUGUAGCGGUGAAAUGCAUAGAUAUCACGAAGAACUCCGAUCGCGAAGGCAGCCUUCCGGCCCGUCAACGACGCUCAUGCUCGAAGGUGCGGGUAUCAAACAGGAUUAGAUACCCUGGUAGUCCGCACAGUAAACGAUGGACACCCGCGGUGUGGCCUGUAUGGCUGAGCCGCCAAGCGAAAGCGUUAAGUGUCCCACCUGGGGAGUACGCCGGCAACGGUGAAACUCAAAGGAAUUGACGGGG
RNAcentral lists this ribosomal RNA (393 nucleotides) under uncultured bacterium. RNAcentral's name for it is "partial 16S ribosomal RNA". It matches the Rfam family "Bacterial small subunit ribosomal RNA", at positions 523 to 918 of the family's 1533-position model. The record is from RNAcentral.